ACAGUAGCAGAAACUGAGAUACGAACGAUUCUGGUAGGAAAGGUAAAAAUGACACCAUUUCCCAUACCUGAAGCCACAGAAACAGUCUCCCUUAAACAAUAUCGAAUUCCGGGGGGGACAAGAAGAGAUCACUGCUACCAUCAAAGAAUAUUUGGAAGCAGGUGUGCUGAAGCCGGUGACCACAAAGUGGAACAACCCCUUGUGGCUGGUAAGGAAAUCAGACAAUACAUGGCGAAUGACCGUUGAUUACCGACAAUUGAACAACCGACCUGUGGGGUCAGGAGUGACUCCUUUGAUUCGAAUGAUUUCAAAUCAAGAACCUGUAAUGGUCACAGAAAGUAUUAAAAUGUGGAAAAUUGACCCAGAGGCUGAAAUUCCCGUCAGAGCCACGCCUGGCUCUGCCGGACUUGAUUUGCGAACUUUGGCACCUGUAACACUCCUCCCUCAUGAAAUUCAAAUUGUUAAAACAGGGUUGGGUCUGCAGUGCCCGAAAGGCACUUACGGUCACAUCCUUCCUCGGAGUGGCCUGUCACUGAAAGGCCUGACCAUCCAGGCAGGAGCGAUAGAUGCAGACUAUCAAGGAGAACUGGGAGUAGUGUGCAAACUACUCUCAGACCAACCCUUGGUUUUGGAAAAAAGGAGCUAAAAUAGCACAGAAAAGUGGGUAAAUGUACCCAUAAACAAAUGCUAUAUGCGAGAGAACUAAUCAUGUUUUUUUUGUUAUUUAGUGUUUAACCAAAUUUGUUACAGCUUGGAGAAUUAAUGCCUUGGUGGGAGUUGCUGAUCGGGAGACCUGCUAAAACCGGACGAGACCGUGGACCUCAUUGGGCGCCGCGACACUGGAGGUGUCGUCUGCUGGGUCAUCUGCCUCCUUGCCGUUGGUGCCAUGGUCCAGCCCUCCUGGGGGAUGACCGAGGGCUGAACCUGCAGGACAAGUCAAGAAGCUAGAUCUAUACAACUUGACGCCGAAUGCGACCCUAAUCAUCAGGGAUCAAACUGGACAAUAGUGGCGGAUGAAGACUUCAUCAUCGGAGACAGCGAACCUAUUGGGCACAAUGACCGUGGGUAUCCGGUGAAAGUGAUUCCUCAAAAGCUACCGCCGACCAUAACUUUGACACACUUGUCCCCCAUUUUGGAUACCUGCACACACCGUGCACAGGCAACAAUCGAAAC
This is a long non-coding RNA of Hippocampus zosterae (dwarf seahorse), 1173 nucleotides long. RefSeq lists it as uncharacterized. NCBI's taxonomy places the organism in Eukaryota, Metazoa, Chordata, Actinopteri, Syngnathiformes, Syngnathidae. The record is from RefSeq and is a predicted model, not a curated record. The transcript has 2 exons.